This is a non-coding RNA of Peromyscus maniculatus bairdii (prairie deer mouse), 5142 nucleotides long. NCBI's taxonomy places the organism in Eukaryota, Metazoa, Chordata, Mammalia, Rodentia, Cricetidae. The record is from RefSeq and is a predicted model, not a curated record.
AAUACACUUGUACACAGAAAAAGGGGCAGCAGACACAGGACGGAGAUUAAGCUUUGGAAACUUCCAUGGCAGUUUAUGGGACAGGUUUUAGUUUCUUUGUAGUAUUCAAUACUUCUCCAAGUCUUGACGGUUGGAAUGAGUUGCUCUGUGCAUCCACAGGAGGAAGAAGCUGUGUUUUGAGUACAGGCACUACCUAAACGAACAGCACUGCUGGAAUCCAUUUCUUAGAGCCUGACAAUCCCGUUCAAUUAUUUUAUGUAAUUCGUAAGCACUACUUAGAAACUGCAGCAACCUGGGAAGCUCACUGUGGCCUGGGAAAUGCAAGUUUUCAAACAAGCUUGGAUGCAGAGCCCUGGCGACCGAGCAUAGGAAAGGGAGAUCAAAAACUAGCUAGGAACAGUGGCUGCAGACUGUAGACCGUGGGCACCGAGAGAAGGAAGUUUCUGUCCCGUUUUCUAUUUGUGUGGUGGUGGCGGGUGUGAUCUGGGGUACAACUUUAUUUUUGUUUCGUUUUUACUUUGACUUUUUUUUUUUUUAAUGACCAAAAAGUUGUGGAAAUUUGCUCUGUUGUGUGUAGUCUGCAUCUUCCGGGGGAAGCAGUUAGGAUGUUUCUCUCUAAACCGGUUUCGGCAGAAAUGAUGGUGCCCAGCACGGUAAAUGCCUAACCUUGAUAAACGCCUAACACUGAUGAACGCUUAGCACCGAAAAAACACAAAACCGGCCAAGUGCCUAAUUUAAGACACGUUUUUACACGUACUUUUUCCAAUUAGACUAAUUUGUCGCGUAUCGAAUUAUGUCUCCUCCAUAGCACUGGGCUGGGGGAGGAUGGGAACGGAACAAUAAAUUAAAAUGGAAAAGCUCUCUCAAAAGCCCCUCCAACACGACGUCACAAUUAGGAGCCCCCCUCCCGGACUGGAAUGAAAUCCAGUGGCCUGAUUUCGUCGGAAGAUAAAUUACGAGAAGUGAACUUGACCCUAGUCCUCCCCACCCCCUAAACUCCCAAGGUCAAGACAAAGGGAGAGGGGCUGGCUUAAUUCUUUCCCGGCCUGGAGAGCCAAGGUUGCCGGGGAGAGGAUUAAAAUAACCAGCCCUUUGUCCCAAGCAUAUCUUACGGCAGGUAACUGGGAGAGAAAGCAUCAACAACAUUAUCCGGAUAAUUCCCUCGGGCCACUAACCAUUUGCCAGAAAGGACUUGCCUCCAGGCAUUUUUCUCUAGUCCUAAAUGGAAGGGCUGGAAGCUUUGCAUCGGUUGACGGGAUCUGGCGUCUCCUUAGUGGGCCUUGGGAGGUUCCUGGAAGGGACUCCUGGGCACGGACCCCAUCCCAGCCACAUCAGGCCUGCAGGCCAGCCCGGCUCUCCCCGCCCGCAGCUCGCCCGGGGCCGCCUUCUACCCCCGUAUUCCACAGUCAGUAAACAUCCCCUCGACCUACCGCAGACGCCUGCUUGCCUUGGGGUUCCAGGAUCAGGAAUUCCUAAAACUAAAUUUAACAGAACAAAGCAAUCACAGCUACUACCAGUUUCAAAGGCCGCUCGCCAGUCCCCGGCCUCCGCUCUCUGCAGGUCUCUGAGCAAGACGCGCUUUUCCCGGGUCCCCCGGUGCAGCGGCCGAGGUUCCCCCGCGGGAAGAGGGAGACUCCUGGUUGCCCGAGCUUCCGCAUCCUGGUCCCGAGUCGAAGAUCGAGCACCCGCGGGGUUCGGUUGUCGCUCUGCGGGCUGCGGGGACCCACGCGGCGGGGACUGGGAAGGCAAGGACCGCGCGGCAGGGUGACCCACCUCUGAUCGCGCGCAGGCUGGAGCUGUUAAUCCUUUGUUAUUUAUGCACGUGUUUAUCUUGAUCGCGGGAAAGAUACUGGGGGGAGGGAGGGUGCUAACGGCCUAACCCAAGGUAAACUACCGGGAACAGAGAGUGUUCAAGAUUCCGCGGAGUCUAACGCACCGCCUCGCUUGCUCUAGGGCCUCAACGGUUGGGUGUUUACACUCAGACCCCGUACGUUUUCGCCGAAGACAAGGACCACAAGUUCCUGUAAUAAAGCAACGGAUGGUUUAGUGGGAGAGGCCAGGACCUGCAGUUUCCCGCCUCUUCUGAAUUGUUCCUCACCCAUUUCCUCCCGCUUUCGAUAUUCCGAGCACCUUUCCAGGUCCUUCUGGAACAGGGCCUCUCCCGGAAAACCUCUCCGGAUGCCAGUGUAUGUGUCUCCGUCCUGUUUUCCAUUUGUCCUGACUGUAAUAAUUUGCAAAGAUGUCCCUCUCCCUCACGGUGCAGAGAACAUAGACUGUAGUCCUCAGGCCUGGGGGAUGCCAGCCCAAGAGCUGGCCGCGAAGCUAGGCAAAGCUAGGAGACAGGCUUUGUCCUUCCCAGGUAUCUUUUUCCGAAGCUUUGCACGCACUAGGGGCUUGAAAUGAAAACUUGGUUGAACUAAAUUGCCCCAUGUGUUUAAUCCCGUGGUGCUCACACUUAGACAGAUCUGCCCAGUUUCUUAGUGAGGCAGGGUCUAGGGUGUUUGGAAUGCACCUACCCUCUGUGACCUGGAAUAGAGGGCACCAGGGGGAAGCAGGUGUUUCUAGGGAGAGAAGUUGGUUGGUGGUAGGAAAGAGCCUGGGCUUCUUCUUCUGUCAGUUGGUAAACACCAGGAGCUUAGAAGUUAAAAGAUGCCCCCACCCAGAUCCUGUCAUUGAGGCACAAAUAAAAUAACUCACAAGGUUGUCUCGAUUUCUUUAUUUUACGAAGUGUCACUCCAUAGGGACUUUCAAGGUGAAUGAAGGACAGUAGCCCCAGAGGAACAGUAGAGAAGUAGCCAGGUGGGGUUUUCUUGUUUUGUUUUGAGGGGGGUAUUAGCAAGUCUUCAGGUGCCUGCAAAUGAACUAGCCCACCCAAACUUUAAGUCAGCAGCAGGAGGUCUGAGGGGGUGACCCGCGCCCCAAUGUCCCGUGAUGUCCCACGAUGCCUCACGAUGCUCCAGGACAGAAAGGACUGGGCACUUGAGAACUGCCCAGGGUGAUGGCACCCCUGGCAGUUGCUCCUCAGAAGCUCCCAACGAACGUCUGAGAGAGCAUUUCGGAGGGGAGGGGAGCCAGAGGCCCAGGGGAUAGAUGCAACACCUCCCUCUUGCUUUUUGUUAACGCUUCAGUCAGUCAGAAAAAUCAUUACCCUGGUUAACUUUUGUCUAGUUUUCAAUACAGGCAUAAAAUGUUUUAAAUACAAGUGACAAGAUCAACAAUAUUUUUUUUUUCCCUUGCCAAGAUUCCAUCCAGUCAAAGACAACCAUAAAGCCACAUGCCUGGGAUACUGUCCUCACCAGUAAGCCUCUCCCAAGCCCAGACCAAGAACGUCCCCCGCAUACUUCGAAGCAUUUUCUUAGUGACUUUCAGCCCAAAUGACCAUCCCUCUCUCCAAAAGCCAACAAGAAGAAGUCACUGACAGGUUGCCUCUGAGAGAAGUUUUGGGGCCUCCCCCCCUUAUUGCAGAGACCUCCAGUGUCCCCAAAUUCUCGAGCAACAUUCUUGCAGGACUUCUUAGAGGCAGGUCCCAGGUCGAUACAUAGGAAACGCACUCAGCCCAUGAGUUAGUUGUUUACCUUAUUAAAGAGAAACUCUUGGAAGCAGAAAGGUGGGGGGCACUGAAUAACACUCUUGACCCCUCUGCAAAGGUGGUGAUGGGCAUCCAGUUGCUCCUAGGCCCCGGAACUCUGCAGACAUCUGCCUGAAGAUUUCAGCUUCCCAGCGAUUCGCACUCCUUAAGGCUUGGAGAGGAACCCGAGCUACCGCUGCCCCGGAUGCUCUGCUCCUUGCUAAGUCUGGGGCGAGGUUAAAUCAGUAGCGCUCCGUCUUACAGCUUCAAGCCCAGAGAGAAGUUUGGGGACGAUACUCCGAUACUCCGAUACUCCGUAAGCUUCCUCAGGUCUGUGGCGAUUUGGGGCAGCGGCUUCCAGCAGGUCUCUGGAACCGACUACGUGCCACCAGCAGCCCCAACUGGGCCUCCUUCCUUCUCGAGACCAGAGAAGUGCGUUUCCCCCCUCUUUCUCCUCUCGCCUACCCCUGCUCCCCCCACCCAUAAAGCAUUUAGUAGAGUGGGGGUGGAGGGAGUGGAGACCACCAGCCGGGAUCUUCAAGUUCAAUGGCAAUGACCCUCCCCACAGACUGGGCGCAGGCAGUUGCUCCCUUCCUCUUCCCAUAAUUCUGGGGGCUACUGCAUUCUUUUGCAGCUCCUCCUGUUUCAGGGGCAAUUUAGGGGAGCCUAGGGGUAAUGAUGGCAUUCUUUCUCUCAUGUCUCCGACAACUCGGUGUCCUCCCCCCCCCCCGCAGCCCCCAUAACUGUUAGCCGAGAAAGGAAGACAGGCUGGCAUCUGUUCCCCAUUGGAUGUUUUAAAUCUCUCUGCAAGCCCCGGCCAGAGCCGGGAGGGGGGAGGGUGCCCCGCUCUUGGGCAGGAGAGGUGGGCGGCUCCUGGCCUUUCUCUUCUCCUGCCCAGAGACUGUUCAGGUGGGUAAGCCUAAGGUAUAAAUGUCUUUCAAAAACGACUGGAAUCUCCUCCCUCCGUCUUCUGCACCGCAGCCGCCUGGGCGCUUUAUGGCAAAUUUACGGAAGAAACAAAAUCCCUUGUAUCUUUUGUUGCUUCAAGAAUUUCUUACUGAAAAGGGAACAGCGGCAGGUUCCAGACAAGUAAGGAAAAAAGAAAUAGGAAACCCGCCGCCAGCGGUGAUGUUUGGAGGAUAAAUUUAUUAUUUCCACGUAACCAAGAGGUGGACGGAAAGGUGGAAUGCGCUCACGGCUUUGCCUCUUCUUCGCCUUUCCUGUCCUCCUCCGGGGCACAUCCGAGGCUAGACCUACACAUCUUCUGGAAUUCCGGGCGCCUUGGAGUCCUGAAGCUUUCACAGGCCUAGAACCUUCAAACCCCGGGGGCCAGAGGUCCCAGGCUGUUGCAAGCCGGAAGCUGUGGGGUGAGAAGGGGGCUGGAGAAUGAAAGCCUCGGGCGGGCGGCCGGUUUCCUGAAAUGGCAAAUGUCUACCGGAAGGGGGAGCGCUUGUCUUCUUAAUAGUUCAAUCAUGUUGGUGGCGGAAUAAAUCUCUUAAAACCCCCAAAUCUUUUGUCUGCUCUGAAAUUAGUACCAACGAAAAGUAAAGGAGCUCUGAAAUUUUAAGCCCCUU